This 300-nucleotide unclassified non-coding RNA is filed under the name uncultured fungus. RNAcentral describes it as "sequence contains 5.8S rRNA gene, ITS2". The stretch from base 1 to 87 matches the Rfam family "5.8S ribosomal RNA", at positions 64 to 154 of the family's 154-position model. Lineage: Eukaryota; Fungi. The record is from RNAcentral.
GGUGUAUAAGGGACAGGUGAGUCAUCGAAUCUUUGAACGCACAUUGCGCCCACUGGUAUUCCGGUGGGCAUGCCUGUCUGAGCGUCAGUAUAAUCUCAAGCAAACGCUUGGUAUUGGAAGAUGAUCUGCCUAGCAGUUCCCUUCUUAAACUGAUUGGCAAGUUUACAUAGCAGCAAGCGUAGUAGAAAUACCAUCAGCUUAGUUACUCUGUAUAGCUUUGUCAAAAUCAAACUAUUUUAAGGUUUGACCUCAGAUCAGGUAAGGAUACCCCCUGAACUUAAGCAUAUCAAUAAGCGGAGG